Rhinopithecus roxellana (golden snub-nosed monkey) is the source of this 1196-nucleotide RNA transcript. RefSeq lists it as uncharacterized. The transcript has a single exon. Lineage: Eukaryota; Metazoa; Chordata; Mammalia; Primates; Cercopithecidae. The record is from RefSeq and is a predicted model, not a curated record.
AAGGCAGCUUCACCCAGUUUUCUGGACUCUCAUGCCCCCAUCUCCAACCUGGGAGACUUCAGGAAGGACACCUACCUGGCCUGGUGGGGCUGGCAGGAUGGUGGAGGUUUCUCAAGGAGCUGGAGACCUUGGGGAGCCCCUCUUGGGGAAGAAAGAGCUUCCAGGAUGCGGACGCAGCACAGUGGAAGAGGCCUGCUCCACUUGACUGGGAACUUGGGCAGGAGGCACAGAGGAAGCCAAGGCCUGGAGCUGCAGGUCCCCCGGCACCUCUCCCUGUCCCAGCAGCCCAGGAUGGCCUGGUGCCCCCACCUGAUGCAGCAGGAGCCCCAAGGAGUGCUGACCGAGGACGGUUGCUGGGGUGGUCCUCAUGGACAGUGAGGUGUGCAGGGGUGCACUGAGGGUGGUGGGAGGGGAUCACCUGGGUUCCAGGUUGUCUUUGCUGAGCGUCUUUGAGCCUGCCUCCCAGUGGAAGCAGAAAAGGCCAGACCCUGCUGAGUUAGAGGCUGCUGGGAUCCACUCUGUCAACACAGCGGGAGGGCUGCUGGCAACAGGUGGUAGAGAAGUGCCAUGUUUGAGUUGAGUCUUGUAGCUCUUCCAGCUGGGGACUGGUGCUUGCUGAAACCCAGGAGCUGAACAGUGAGGAGGCUGUCCACCUUGCUUGGUUCACUGGGACCAGGAAAGCCUGUCUUUGGUUAGGAUCGUGUACUUCUGCAGGAAAAAAAGAAAAAAAAAAAAAAAGGAUGUGCCAUUGGUCAUGAGGUUUGAAAAGAGGAGGAGGCUGAAGUUGUUCCUGUUUACCCAGUAUUGGAAAAUAUUUGACCCCCUUGGCUGAAUUCUUUUGCAGAACUACUGUAUGUCUGUUCAUUACCUUUUCAGGUUUAUUGUUUUUAUUUUUGCAUGAAUUGAAAGUUUUAAUUUCUUUGCAGAUAAGGUCUAGAUGCGGAGUCAGAGAUGGUACUGAAUGGGGAGGGAUCAUUUGUAUUCUCAUGGUUGGCUCUGGCUUUCAGCUGAACUGGGACCACUGGCUGAUCACAUCACCUCUCUGCCUCAGUUUCCCCAUAUCUGUAAAAUGGGAGAAUAAUACUUGCCUACCUACCUCACAGGGGUGUUGUGAGGAUUCAUUUGUGAUUUUUUUUUUUUUUUUUUUUUUUUUGUACAGAGCUUUUAAGCUUUAAAAACAGCUAAAUGUGAGUGCA